CCUACGGGUGGCUGCAGUAGGGAAUUUUCGUCAAUGGGCGCAAGCCUGAACGAGCAAUGCCGCGUGAACGAGGAAGGUCUUCGGAUCGUAAAGUUCUGUUGAAGGGGAAAAAGAGCGGAGAGAGGAAAUGCUUUCUGAUUGAUAUUACUCUUCGAGGAAGUCCCGGCUAAUUACGUGCCAGCAGCCGCGGUAAUACGUAGGUGGCGAGCGUUAUCGGGAAUGAUGGGGCGAAAGGGGUGCGUAGGCGGCCUGCUAAGUCUGGAGGGAAAGGUACUGGCGCAACCGGUACAGGCUCUUGAAACUGGCGGGCUAGAGAGCAGGAGAGGGCAGUGGAACUCCAUGUGUAGCGGUAAAAUGCGUAGAUAUAUGGAAGAACACCAGUGGCGAAGGCGGCCGACUGGACUGUUACUGACGCUGAGGCACGAAAGCGUGGGGAGCAAAUAGGAUUAGAUACCCUAGUAGUC
Molecule: ribosomal RNA, 464 nt
Filed under: uncultured bacterium
Lineage: Bacteria
Description: partial 16S ribosomal RNA
Rfam family: Bacterial small subunit ribosomal RNA
Source: RNAcentral